AUGGAUUCAAAAGUGCGAGGUUUGCUUCAUUCUGUAGGAACUAUGGAUGCAAAACUGCAAAGUUUUGCUUCUACUACUUCCAAUUCUCAUAAGAUGCUAAAGAACUACAAUAGAGUUAUGAAAAAGUUGCUACAGGCUGAUUAUAGCACACAAUGUUACUGGGGAAUCUUGGGAGGAAAUAAAUUAGCACCAUUUAUUGGGAACUCAUAUGCCCCUUUUUGUUUGCAAAAUGUUUGGAUCUACUAUCUAGGUUUGCAUAUUGUUGUAUGUGUCAUUCGGGAAAACAUGUCACUAAUCCUUUGUGCCACUUUCAAUGGCCAAAGACCAAAAUACCCUUGUUUGAUGGUUAGUCAGUGCCUCAGUGGCAACCUUGACUUGAAUUAA
Molecule: ribosomal RNA, 384 nt
Filed under: Triticum aestivum (bread wheat)
Lineage: Eukaryota; Viridiplantae; Streptophyta; Magnoliopsida; Poales; Poaceae
Description: partial small subunit ribosomal RNA
Source: RNAcentral